This 253-nucleotide ribosomal RNA is filed under the name Arthrobacter sp. Its description in RNAcentral is "partial 16S ribosomal RNA". It matches the Rfam family "Bacterial small subunit ribosomal RNA", at positions 524 to 776 of the family's 1533-position model. The record is from RNAcentral. RNAcentral also lists the same sequence under 7 other names. Lineage: Bacteria; Bacillati; Actinomycetota; Actinomycetes; Micrococcales; Micrococcaceae.
UACGUAGGGCGCAAGCGUUAUCCGGAAUUAUUGGGCGUAAAGAGCUCGUAGGCGGUUUGUCGCGUCUGCCGUGAAAGUCCGGGGCUCAACUCCGGAUCUGCGGUGGGUACGGGCAGACUAGAGUGAUGUAGGGGAGACUGGAAUUCCUGGUGUAGCGGUGAAAUGCGCAGAUAUCAGGAGGAACACCGAUGGCGAAGGCAGGUCUCUGGGCAUUAACUGACGCUGAGGAGCGAAAGCAUGGGGAGCGAACAGG